This 29-nucleotide non-coding RNA is filed under the name Homo sapiens (human). The record is from RNAcentral. Lineage: Eukaryota; Metazoa; Chordata; Mammalia; Primates; Hominidae.
UGCGUUUGUGAGAGCUCUGGAUAUAUGGU